RNAcentral lists this ribosomal RNA (279 nucleotides) under uncultured bacterium. RNAcentral's name for it is "partial 16S ribosomal RNA". It matches the Rfam family "Bacterial small subunit ribosomal RNA", at positions 506 to 784 of the family's 1533-position model. The record is from RNAcentral.
UGCCAGCCGCCGCGGUAAUACAGAGGGUGCAAGCGUUAAUCGGAAUUACUGGGCGUAAAGCGCGCGUAGGUGGUUUGUUAAGUUGAAUGUGAAAUCCCCGGGCUCAACCGUGGGAAAUCUAGAGAUACUGCUUGUCUUGAGACCGGGAGAGGUUGGAGGUACUCCUAGGGUAGGGGUGAAAUCCUGUAAUCCUAGGGGGACCACCUGUGGCGAAGGCGUCCAACUGGAACGGGUCUGACGGUGAGGGACGAAACCUAGGGGAGCGAGCCGGAUUAGAUA